This 589-nucleotide ribosomal RNA is filed under the name Niveoporofomes spraguei. RNAcentral's name for it is "eukaryotic LSU rRNA". The stretch from base 218 to 371 matches the Rfam family "5.8S ribosomal RNA". Lineage: Eukaryota; Fungi; Basidiomycota; Agaricomycetes; Polyporales; Fomitopsidaceae. The record is from RNAcentral.
AUUAAUGAAUUUUGAAGGGGGUUGUAGCUGGCCUUUCCGUCUGGGAGGCAUUUUGUGCACACCCCGAUCAUCGUCCAUUCACACCUGUGCACACUCUGUAGGUUGGUGGUACGAGGCACGGUCUUCAUUGAUUGUGCUUUGGAAGCCGUCCUAUGUCUUAUUUACAAACUCUUGUUGGUUUAAAGAAUGUCUGUUUGCGUUCAACGCGUCUAUAUACAACUUUCAGCAACGGAUCUCUUGGCUCUCGCAUCGAUGAAGAACGCAGCGAAAUGCGAUAAGUAAUGUGAAUUGCAGAAUUCAGUGAAUCAUCGAAUCUUUGAACGCACCUUGCGCUCCUUGGUAUUCCGAGGAGCAUGCCUGUUUGAGUGUCAUGGAAUUCUCAACUUCAUUUGCUUUUGUGAAUGGAGAUUGGAUUUGGAGGUUUUAUUGCUGGACUUUGAUUUAGUUCAGCUCCUCUUGAAUGCAUCAGCUUGAGUCUUUUUGUGGAUCGGCUUCGGUGUGAUAAUUGUCUGCGCCGUUCUGUGAAGCGAUGUACUUGGCUUCUAAUUGUCCUUUGGACCCUUGACCUUUGACCUCAAAUCAGGUAGGA